RNAcentral lists this unclassified non-coding RNA (424 nucleotides) under Hevea brasiliensis (rubber tree). Lineage: Eukaryota; Viridiplantae; Streptophyta; Magnoliopsida; Malpighiales; Euphorbiaceae. The record is from RNAcentral.
GGAAUAUCAAUAUCUGGUGAUCCACUACCUGAUUCCAGUUAUGCUUAUCCUGGUUUUAGGAUCACAGCUUGUAGUAAUACAACACUCAUCAGAUGACUCAACGCAUGAGGUCGCUUUAGAAGAUUUAGGUUCUUCCCCUUGAGAAUCGAUUCUUUUAGAUAUUCCACUUUCACUAGCAACAGUAUCUAAGGAUGCCACCACAAACGAUGAUUCAAGCUGCUGAAUAUGAUCGCAAUUCUUCUUCAGUAUAUUCUGCUGAUUUCCCUGAUGGCUUAAUUUCUCAAACUCCGACUUCUUAUAGAAAUAAGCUUGUGAAGCCUCUUCAACUGUGUCAAAAGUCCCCAACCGGACUCUCUUAUGCGUAAAUGGAUCUGUAAUUACAGCUUCAUAUCUCCCAUUCUUUUGCCUUCUGGCUCCAAUCAAG